Folsomia candida is the source of this 822-nucleotide long non-coding RNA. RefSeq lists it as uncharacterized. The record is from RefSeq and is a predicted model, not a curated record. NCBI's taxonomy places the organism in Eukaryota, Metazoa, Arthropoda, Collembola, Entomobryomorpha, Isotomidae. The transcript is spliced from 2 exons.
UUAUUGGAGUCAUGAUGAUGAUGAUGACUCUGUGUACGGCCAGCCCCACUCGCUCUAAACUCAACAAACCUGGCCUUGAAUGCAGAUUAUGAAUUUUUUCUCAUCCAUCCAUAUCUAUCUCAUUCUUCGUCUUGAGAGAGAAGCUCUUUCUCCCCUCAACUAUAUUUAGUCAGUCGGUCCAACAACUUGCCAAGUGCUGGAUGUCAUGCUGACUGACUUGUUCAUUCCACGGAAUGGCACAUAACACCUAACGCCGUCCGUACCCCUAAUAAAAACGACACAGACAGCAAAGCAGGGCUGCACAACAGUUUUGAGAGGCCCGUCAUUAAGAAUUUCGUCAAAGCUAUUAGGACGGAAGAAAAGGUGGGAGAGAUGAAAACCUUUGGAAAGUCUCAAGUUUCAGAUUCAGGUAGACUUCUCCUGAAAUAUCCUCUCUCUGGACCCUGCAAGAUGCGAUCCGGUUACACAAAGAUGCAUAACAUGAUCUUGAUGGCAAUUCCCACACUUUGGUUGGCUUGUUUAUUUUGUAAAUAUUCAUUUCCCGUCCAGCACCAGUUCAAUUAACCAACCGCACUGAACGGACUAUAGAGAUACCUGCAGAAAGAGUGGGAACCGUUCAUCUUCUUACACGAUGUGAACCAAAAAUAAGAUGUAUAGCUGCACAUUCAGCAGGUAAAAAGAUGAUGAUGGGAUUCUUAAAAAUACAUUUUCAUGCUUUACACACCGACUGAAAAGGUGCAGUUUUUGAUCCAUUGUGAUGCAUCUUAAAAAACGUAACUUGAGACAAAAAUACAUCUUCUGGAGAAGAAGAACAAAACAAGA